RNAcentral lists this ribosomal RNA (1467 nucleotides) under Triticum aestivum (bread wheat). RNAcentral's name for it is "partial small subunit ribosomal RNA". Lineage: Eukaryota; Viridiplantae; Streptophyta; Magnoliopsida; Poales; Poaceae. The record is from RNAcentral.
AUGGACGACUCUUCAACUAGGAGCCAUGUUUCUGAGGGGAAUCGGCUGGGCUAUGUAAGAAGUGAAUCCAUGGAUUCCGCUGGCCAUCCUUCGGCUGCUAGGUCAGGCUCACUGCUAAGCAGGAGAAGUAGCAGGCCCAGUUCAAGGGGAUCCAUUAGCCUCUCUCGCGAGAUGGGCGACUCGAUCCUCAACUCAAUGAGGCAUUCCCUUCAGUCAGCAGACCAGUUGCUAGGUGAUGCUGAUGGCUCGGCUUUGGCUCAGGUCAUUGACAGUGGUGACCGAGUGCUAGCCUUGGAAGAUGAGGAUGAUGAAGAUACGGCAAAUACAUUGGAUCAACAUAAGUUCGGUCCUGUCCGAGAUAAUCGAAUCCAUGGCUACAGCUCACAUGGCACAGGUCUGCCAGCACCUGAGUCUUCUGUGGAGCCAAAGGGCGAGAGCUCAUCAGGCAAGGUUGAAGAAUAUAUGCUUUCUCGGAGGCUAGAUUACGCUUCUUACCUGAUCCAUUUAGCUGCCUUUGGGUUAUUUGGGGUAUUUACAAGGUAUGGGCUCCAAAAGCUGUUCGGCCCAGGCUGCCUGGCACUCACCUCCAACCAAAGCCCGUUGUACCUUGAUCUUCCAUCAAACAUGCUAGGAUCCUUCCUGAUGGCCUGGUUUGGGAUCAUCUUUAAGACUGACAUUCGGCACAUAUCUGAACAUCUCAUUGUUGGAAUCACAACCGGAUACAUGGGAAGCCUUACUACCUUCAGUGGGUGGAAUCAAGCGAUGGUUAGCAUGUCUUCCAAAGACCAUUGGGCAUAUGCCAUAGCUGGCAUAGUAUUAGGAAUGUUCAUCGUCAAUGAGUCCAUCAGGGUGGGCGCCGAAACAGGUGAGCGCCUACGAAGCUGGAUCCUGAAAUGCAUCAAGGAAAAUAGUUCAAUAGGAAGCAAAUGUAACUGGGAGCACCUGAAAGUCAACACUAGGACUAAACAUUUUGUGCUUAUAGCAGUUAUGAUGAUUUUGCUUUCUUUUGUGUGGGUUCUGAGCAUCGUGUUGGCCAUAAUAAAGGUGCGCAAUCUUGAUGAUGGCGCUGUACUAUGGUUGGGGUGCUCGGUUGCGCCUCCGGGCGUUUGGUUACGCUGGUACUUGGCAAGGCUCAAUGGCCAGGGAAUCGGCAAACAGAGAUCCCUCAAAUGGCUGCCCAUCGGGACACUUGUAGCCAAUGUUCUUGCUGCGGGUAUCAUGGCAUCACUGGCCGUGACUGCCAAAGCGGUGAAUACAAAGCGUUCGACAACUGUUCUUAAUGGCAUACAGUUUGGUUUCCUCGGCUGCUUGAGCACAGUGUCUACUUUUGCUGCUGAAAUCUACGCUAUGCGAAGCAGCAGACAGAUUGGUAGGGCCUUUGUCUAUGCUGCAGCGACCUUCGUGCUCUCUUUCGUGCUGGGAACUCUGGUAUACUCUGUGCCAGUAUGGGUCAAGCAUUACCAAUAG